Molecule: ribosomal RNA, 253 nt
Filed under: uncultured bacterium
Lineage: Bacteria
Description: partial 16S ribosomal RNA
Rfam family: Bacterial small subunit ribosomal RNA
Source: RNAcentral
UACAGAGGGUGCGAGCGUUGUCCGGAAUCACUGGGCGUAAAGGGCGCGUAGGUGGCGGCCCAAGUCCAUGGUGAAAGCUCGAUGCUCAACAUCGAGUCGGCCACGGAUACUGGGUUGCUUGAGCACUGUAGGGGCAGAUGGAAUUCCGGGUGUAGCGGUGGAAUGCGUAGAGAUCCGGAGGAACACCGAUGGCGAAGGCAAUCCCCUGGGCCUGCACUGACGCUCAUGCACGAAAGCGUGGGGAGCAAACAGG